RNAcentral lists this ribosomal RNA (488 nucleotides) under uncultured Pleospora. RNAcentral's name for it is "eukaryotic LSU rRNA". It matches the Rfam family "Eukaryotic large subunit ribosomal RNA", at positions 64 to 560 of the family's 3401-position model. The record is from RNAcentral. Lineage: Eukaryota; Fungi; Ascomycota; Dothideomycetes; Pleosporales; Pleosporaceae.
ACCAACAGGGAUUGCCUAGUAACGGCGAGUGAAGCGGCAUCAGCUCAAAUUUGAAAUCUGGCUCUUUUAGGGUCCGAGUUGUAAUUUGCAGAGGGCGCUUUGGCAUAGGCAGCGAUUCAAGUUCCUUGGAACAGGACGUCACAGAGGGUGAGAUCCCCGUACGUGGUCGCCAGCUCUUGCCGUGUAAAGCCCCUUCGACGAGUCGAGUUGUUUGGGAAUGCAGCUCUAAAUGGGAGGUAAAUUUCUUCUAAAGCUAAAUAUUGGCCAGAGACCGAUAGCGCACAAGUAGAGUGAUCGAAAGAUGAAAAGUACUUUGGAAAGAGAGUCAAAAAGCACGUGAAAUUGUUGAAAGGGAAGCGCUUGCAGCCAGACUUGCCUAUAGUUGCUCAUCCGGGCUCUUGCCCGGUGCACUCUCUGUAGGCAGGCCAGCAUCAGUUUGGCGUUGGAUAAAGGUCUCUGUCAUGUACCUCUCUUCGGGGAGCCUUAUA